This 288-nucleotide ribosomal RNA is filed under the name uncultured bacterium. RNAcentral's name for it is "partial 16S ribosomal RNA". It matches the Rfam family "Bacterial small subunit ribosomal RNA", at positions 28 to 334 of the family's 1533-position model. The record is from RNAcentral.
GAUAAACGCUGGCGGCAUGCCUAAUACAUGCAAGUCGAACGAUCUCAACUUUCGGGUUGAAGAGAGUGGCGAACGGGUGAGUAACACGUAAGAAUUUGCCUUUAGGAGGGGGAUAACAACUGGAAACGGUUGCUAAUACCCCAUAUGCUUUCGAGUGAAAUGGUUUUUCCGCCUAAAGAGAAGCUUGCGGCUGAUUAGCUUGUUGGUGAGGUAAUGGCUCACCAAGGCGACGAUCAGUAUCUGGUUUGAGAGGACGAUCAGACACACUGGAACUGAGACACGGUCCAG